This 909-nucleotide ribosomal RNA is filed under the name uncultured prokaryote. RNAcentral describes it as "bacterial SSU rRNA". It matches the Rfam family "Bacterial small subunit ribosomal RNA", at positions 547 to 1454 of the family's 1533-position model. The record is from RNAcentral.
GGAAUUACUGGGCGUAAAGCGUGCGUAGGUGGUUUGUUAAGUCAGAUGUGAAAGCCCCGGGCUCAACCUGGGAACUGCAUUUGAAACUGGCAAACUAGAGUAUAGGAGAGGAAAGUGGAAUUUCUGGUGUGGCGGUGAAAUGCGUAGAUAUCAGAAGGAACAUCAAUGGCGAAGGCAGCUUUCUGGACUAAUACUGACACUGAGGUACGAAAGCGUGGGUAGCAAACAGGAUUAGAUACCCUGGUAGUCCACGCCGUAAACGAUGACAACUAGCCGUUGGGGGGAUUUACCCCUUAGUGGCGAAGCUAACGCGUUAAGUUGUCCGCCUGGGGAGUACGGCCGCAAGGUUAAAACUCAAAGGAAUUGACGGGGACCCGCACAAGCGGUGGAGCAUGUGGUUUAAUUCGAUGCAACGCGAAGAACCUUACCUGGUCUUGACAUACACGGAACUUUCCAGAGAUGGAUUGGUGCCUUCGGGAACCGUGAUACAGGUGCUGCAUGGCUGUCGUCAGCUCGUGUCGUGAGAUGUUGGGUUAAGUCCCGUAACGAGCGCAACCCCUAUCCUUAUUUGCCAGCACAUCAUGGUGGGAACUAUAAGGAGACUGCCGGUGAUAAACCGGAGGAAGGCGGGGACGACGUCAAGUCAUCAUGGCCCUUACGACCAGGGCUACACACGUGCUACAAUGGGAAGAACAAAGAGUUGCGAAGCCGCGAGGUGUAGCUAAUCUCACAAAUCUUUUCGUAGUCCGGAUCGGAGUCUGCAACUCGACUCCGUGAAGUCGGAAUCGCUAGUAAUCGUAGAUCAGAACGCUACGGUGAAUACGUCCCCGGGUCUUGUACACACCGCCCGUCAUACCAUGGGAGUGGGUUGCACCGGAAGUAGCUAGUCUAACUGUUACAGAGGACGGU